This 400-nucleotide unclassified non-coding RNA is filed under the name Hevea brasiliensis (rubber tree). The record is from RNAcentral. Lineage: Eukaryota; Viridiplantae; Streptophyta; Magnoliopsida; Malpighiales; Euphorbiaceae.
GGCAGCAAAUCAGUAUUUAACCUCCCCAUUCAAAUGAAAAGGAAUUAAAAAUGGAAAUUUGCCAAAAAGAUCAUCAAAGUAAUAAAACAAAAACAAAAUGAAACUAGAGAUUUACUAGGCCUCAUUUCCUAUCUUGUAAUUUAUUCGGCACGUUAAAAGAAGAGACCCAUCAUAAAAGCCAGCCACAAACUCAUUUGCAUUCAACACCUGCCUCAGCAGCUCGACGAGGCUUGUUUUUCCGCCUGCUUCCGUUAUGUCGGAAUCCAUUAGAUUUAGUUGAGUCAUCAGUUAUUGAUCUGGUUGCAAUACCAUUUUCUUCCUUCACUGAAUCAGCUUUCUCCUUUGCCUGUGAGUAUCGCUUCCUCUUCUUCCCAUUUUCUGCUGCUAUUGGACUUUUUGU